RNAcentral lists this small nucleolar RNA (88 nucleotides) under Ursus americanus (American black bear). RNAcentral's name for it is "Small nucleolar RNA SNORD103/SNORD85 (ENSUAMG00000018263.1)". The record is from RNAcentral. Lineage: Eukaryota; Metazoa; Chordata; Mammalia; Carnivora; Ursidae.
UCUUAGGGACAACACACUUGUCUUCACUGAAAUCCUAGUUUGUUGAUGAGAGACUUGCUCUUUGUACCUACCCAUCAGCUGAACCAGA